Molecule: long non-coding RNA, 1043 nt
Organism: Lutra lutra (Eurasian river otter)
Lineage: Eukaryota; Metazoa; Chordata; Mammalia; Carnivora; Mustelidae
Exons: 2
Source: RefSeq, a predicted model, not a curated record
AACCUGCCGCUUCUCCUCCCCCGGGACGCGGUAGCGCCGCCGUCCCUGGCAGCUGGCCCGGCCCGUGCUUCUCCUUGGCCCCGGGACCGUCCGGGGCAGGAAGCCGCGUCCCCUUCAGCUCGCGGGGGAGCCUGCGGGUCCUUCGCCAGCUCCCCGCGCCCGUCCCCGCGUGGGAUCCGCUGGCCGCGGCGGUUUGCGGCCGCCCGACCACCCGCCGUCCUGGUGCCGGCCUCCGGGGACGUGUAGCUGUUGUGUAGCGUCGGGGAGGGCUUGAUUCGGCCGAGCCGCGAGCCACCGUGCUGCUACUGCUGGGGGCGCCAGCUAUUUUUUAAAAUUAUUUAUUUAUUUAUUUGACAGAAGGGCAGGCGGAGGGAGAGCGAGAAGUAGGCGCUUCGCUGAGCGCGAGGUGGGGCUCGAUCCCGGCACGAGCUGAAGGCCGCCGCUUCAUGGGCUGAGCCACCCGCGCCCCGGGUGCACCGGGUUCCGUCUCGACUGAUACACAGACGGGGUCUGUCCUCACCCGCCCCUACUGACACUUGCGCCGAUCUCCUCAGAAACGGUUUCUGUAUGAAAAGGGUCCAUAAUACGAACAGCUGCCCAGACCCGCUAAUAAGCUUAAAAGACACGACAUUGCAGAUAGGAUCCAGCCUGCGCCCCGGCACCCGUUCCCCCGCCCUCCCCCGAGUUUAGACUUUGUAUCUUCUGUUCGUGUUCCUAGGCAUGUCUUCCUUGUUCUCUGCGUAAACCAAGUGUGAUGUUGUUCUGUGUGCUGUAAACUUUUUGUAAUAAGGGCGCCUGGGGGCUCAGGUCCUGAUCCCGGGUCCUGGGACCCAGCCCUAUGCCAACAGGGAGUCAGCUUAUCCCUCUCCCUCUGCCCUUCCCCCGUGCUCAUGCUCUCUCUCUCUAGUAAAUAAAUAAAACCUUUAAGGAAAUAAUUGUUUUUCUAAUCAAUUAGGAGUGCCUGGCUGACCCAGUCAGAAGAGCAUGUUAACUCCUGAUCUUGGGCUCGUUAAGUUCAAGUCCUACAUUGGGUGUACAGAUAA